AAUCCAUAGGUUAAUGAGGCGAACCGGGGGAACUGAAACAUCUAAGUACCCCGAGGAAAAGAAAUCAACCGAGAUUCCCCCAGUAGCGGCGAGCGAACGGGGAGGAGCCCAGAGCCUGAAUCAGCAUGUGUGUUAGUGGAAGCGUCUGGAAAGGCGCGCGAUACAGGGUGACAGCCCCGUACACAAAAGCGCAUGUGCUGUGAGCUCGAUGAGUAGGGCGGGACACGUGGUAUCCUGUCUGAAUAUGGGGGGACCAUCCUCCAAGGCUAAAUACUCCUGACUGACCGAUAGUGAACCAGUACCGUGAGGGAAAGGCGAAAAGAACCCCGGCGAGGGGAGUGAAAAAGAACCUGAAACCGUGUACGUACAAGCAGUGGGAGCCCCACCACCAAAGCAUUUGCUGUACCGCGUUGACGGAGCGAAGCGACGUCAAACCGAUAAAACAGCAGUGUAAAGUGAGCCGCAGGGCGCUUUGCGCGACAGCGCAAAGGCAGG
RNAcentral lists this ribosomal RNA (495 nucleotides) under Salmonella enterica subsp. enterica serovar Enteritidis. RNAcentral's name for it is "partial 23S ribosomal RNA". The stretch from base 1 to 366 matches the Rfam family "Bacterial large subunit ribosomal RNA", at positions 161 to 565 of the family's 2925-position model. Lineage: Bacteria; Pseudomonadati; Pseudomonadota; Gammaproteobacteria; Enterobacterales; Enterobacteriaceae. The record is from RNAcentral.